Pelobates cultripes (western spadefoot toad) is the source of this 273-nucleotide non-coding RNA. The record is from the annotation of a GenBank genome assembly. NCBI's taxonomy places the organism in Eukaryota, Metazoa, Chordata, Amphibia, Anura, Pelobatidae.
AUCCGAUGCAUUCACGAAAGAUUAAUUACAAUGAAAGCAGAGAUAGAGCUUUUCAAAUAGACAAUUAAACCAUUUGUUGGAGAUGAAGAAAACAUGUGCAUUUUGAAUAUUAUGUUUUUUAUUAUUAUUAUUUCAGUCUGCUGGAUCUCCCUCUUAAAAUAUAUAUUUAAACUCCUGUCUUAAGAAUUCCUGCUUUAAAAUGGAUGCUCAGAAUAUUCAACGUUAGUUCUGCGGAUAUGUAUUCUUUACUCUAAAUGUGUCUAUACUUAUUAC